Macrosteles quadrilineatus (aster leafhopper) is the source of this 1868-nucleotide RNA transcript. It is a transcript of the gene named RNA-splicing ligase RtcB homolog, with no coding region annotated. Lineage: Eukaryota; Metazoa; Arthropoda; Insecta; Hemiptera; Cicadellidae. The transcript has 10 exons. The record is from RefSeq and is a predicted model, not a curated record.
UUUUCGUCAUCUUUUCUUUAACUUGACAUUUGAGAUUUGACAACCUCAACUUUUACCUAGCGAACGUGAGACGUGUAAUUUUAUAAACAUGGUUGUCCGUCAGUAUAAUGAUGAGCUUCAAUAUUUGGAAAAGCUUACCCCUCAUAGCUGGAAAAUCAAAAAGGGCUUCCAGCCAAAUAUGAAUGUAGAAGGUAUCUUUUAUGUCAACAACCAUUUAGAGAAGUUGAUGUUUGAUGAGUUGCGCAAUGCUUGUCGGCCUGGGAUGGUUGGCGGAUUUUUGCCUGGAAUGAAGCAGAUUGCUAAUGUCGCUGCUCUACCUGGCAUUGUUGGGAAAUCUAUUGGUCUACCUGAUGUUCAUUCAGGAUAUGGUUUUGCAAUAGGUAAUAUGGCAGCAUUUGACAUGGAUGAUCCAAAGUCCGUAGUUUCUCCUGGCGGUGUAGGUUUUGACAUCAACUGUGGUGUUCGAUUGCUGCGUACCAACCUGAUGGAGAAGGACGUUCAACCUGUCAAAGAACAGUUGGCUCAGAGCAUGUUUGACCACAUCCCAGUAGGCGUGGGGUCCAAGGGGAUCAUCCCUAUGACAGCCCGGGACCUGGAGGAAGCUCUGGAGAUGGGUAUGGACUGGAGUCUGAGGGAAGGCUACGUCUGGGCGGAGGACAAGGAACACUGCGAGGAGUACGGCCGCAUGCUCACAGCUGACCCGGCUAAAGUCAGCAUGCGAGCCAAGAAGCGGGGCUUGCCUCAGCUAGGAACGUUAGGAGCUGGCAACCACUACGCAGAGAUCCAAGUUGUAGACGAGAUCUUUGACAAGUGGGCCGCCAGCAAGAUGGGGAUAGAGUGCAAGGGACAGAUCUGCGUAAUGAUUCACUCGGGAAGUCGUGGCUUCGGACACCAAGUAGCUACAGAUGCUCUGGUCGAGAUGGAGAAGGCCAUGAAGAGAGACAACAUAGAGACAAAUGACCGACAGCUGGCUUGCGCUAGGAUCAAAUCCGUCGAGGGACAAAACUAUCUCAAGGCCAUGUCGGCUGCCGCCAACUUUGCGUGGGUCAAUCGUUCUUCUAUGACUUUCCUCAGUCGACAGGCAUUCGCCAAGCAGUUCAAUAUGACCCCAGAUGAUUUGGACAUGCACGUCAUUUACGAUGUUUCUCACAAUAUUGCCAAAAUUGAGGAGCAUGUCGUUGAUGGGAAGAGGAAAACUCUGCUCGUCCACAGAAAGGGGUCCACUAGAGCCUUUCCUCCACACCACCCGCUGAUCCCAGUAGACUAUCAGCUGACUGGACAACCAGUGCUGAUUGGAGGCACCAUGGGGACUUGCAGCUACGUGUUGACUGGCACUGAACAAGGCAUGGAGGAGACCUUUGGCUCAACCUGUCAUGGCGCGGGUCGAGCGCUUUCAAGAGCAAAAUCAAGACAAAACUUGGACUACACAGAUGUUCUACGCAAGCUGGAAGAACAGGGUAUCAGUAUUAGAGUGGCUUCACCCAAGCUGGUCAUGGAGGAGGCCCCAGAGUCGUACAAGAACGUGACGGAUGUUGUGGACACUUGUCACGCAGCAGGCAUCAGUCGCAAGGCCAUCAAGUUGCGACCGAUAGCCGUCAUCAAGGGUUGAACACCUACACCUGGUUAUAGGUAUUUUUACGAUGGCUAUUACCUGUGCAUAGACUGAUUCAGCUGAUGGAAUGUUGAUAAAAUCAUCUUGUAUGCUGUUAAACCAACUAAAAAAAAAUGAAACAACUGUAUUUCUUAUGAAGAAUUUAAUUUAUCUACGUAGAUUCAGCUCUAAAACCCAUUUAAUUAUAUAAAGUAUGUAAUCUAAUGUACAUAAUUAGGCCUAGUAUUUAUUUACUAUUCUCUGCAGCCUUUAGCUU